This 100-nucleotide transfer RNA is filed under the name Mycolicibacterium fortuitum. RNAcentral's name for it is "tRNA-Ala(ggc)". RNAcentral also lists the same sequence under 1 other name. The record is from RNAcentral. Lineage: Bacteria; Bacillati; Actinomycetota; Actinomycetes; Mycobacteriales; Mycobacteriaceae.
GUGCACGAUGCCGUGCUGGUGGCUGAAGUUCAGCGCCUGGCAGGCGUCGGCGAUGAUCUCGAUGGCCCGGCGCGGCGGGAUCGGACCCUCGCCGUGCACG